GCUGGGUGUGGUGGCACAUGCCUGUAAUCCCAGUGGCUCAGGAGGCUGAGGCAGGAGGAUCAUAAGUUUGAAGCCAGCCUCAGCAACUUAGUGAGAUCCUGUCUCUA
Molecule: small RNA, 107 nt
Filed under: Marmota monax (woodchuck)
Lineage: Eukaryota; Metazoa; Chordata; Mammalia; Rodentia; Sciuridae
Source: RNAcentral